This 1220-nucleotide small RNA is filed under the name Pongo abelii (Sumatran orangutan). Its description in RNAcentral is "processed transcript". The record is from RNAcentral. Lineage: Eukaryota; Metazoa; Chordata; Mammalia; Primates; Hominidae.
AGCUACCUGAUCCGAAUACUAAGCAGAGCGAGUGUCGGGCUUGUAAGACACUGAAGACACUGCAGAGCAAGGUGCUUAUUCCAGAGGCGUUACAAAACAUGGAGAUUAAAGACCAGGGAGCCCAAAUGGAGCCGCUGCUGCCUACGCCCUGAAGAUGCUGAGACAUAGAGAUGACUGUGAUUAUCUUUUGUAAGACAGGAAAUGCAGUCUUUAGGGGUUUCUGGAAAUAGAAAGGUCAUGCAGUCUGGAACCUGUGAGCCUUUUCAAUCUCUAAGCCAUCAGAGAAAUGAUGAAGAAGCAGUUGUGGAUAGAGGUGGAACUCGUUCUAUUCUCAAAACACACUUUGAGAAAGAAGAUUUAGAAGGUCAUCGAACACUGUUUAUUGGAGUACAUGUGCCCUUGGGAGGAAGAAAAAGCCAUCGACGUCACAGGCAUCGUGGUCAUAAACACAGAAAGAGAGACAGAGAAAGAGAUUCAGGAUUAGAGGAUGGAAGGGAGUCACCUUCUUUUGACACCCCAUCACAGAGGGUACAGUUUAUUCUUGGAACCGAGGAUGAUGAUGAGGAACACAUUCCUCAUGACCUUUUCACAGAACUGGAUGAGAUUUGUUGGCGUGAAGGUGAGGAUGCUGAGUGGCGAGAAACAGCCAGGUGGUUGAAGUUUGAAGAAGAUGUGGAAGAUGGAGGAGAAAGGUGGAGCAAGCCUUAUGUGGCUACUCUUUCAUUGCACAGCUUGUUUGAGUUGAGAAGUUGUAUUCUGAAUGGAACUGUGUUGCUGGACAUGCAUGCCAACACUUUAGAAGAAAUUGCAGAUAUGGUUCUUGACCAGCAAGUGAGCUCAGGUCAGCUGAAUGAAGAUGUACGCCACAGGGUCCAUGAGGCAUUGAUGAAACAGCAUCAUCAUCAGAAUCAGAAAAAACUCACCAACAGGAUUCCCAUUGUUCGUUCCUUUGCUGAUAUUGGCAAGAAACAGUCAGAACCAAAUUCCAUGGACAAAAAUGCAGGUCAGGCUGUUUCUCCUCAGUCUGCUCCAGCCUGUGUUGAAAAUAAAAAUGAUGUUAGCAGAGAAAACAGCACUGUUGACUUUAGCAAGAAUCCCUCUGACAAUGCCUAAAUAAUCUAGAUCUAGUUAUGUGCAUGCUCUCCCUCUGGUGCCUGGCGAAGUCCCCGUGGGAGCAUGGUGUACCAGCUUAAGUCUGUUAAUUAUGCGUGCAGGGACUG